UUCUUCCGCCAAAUUUUGUUCUUGCGAUAAAUGUUUGUUUCGCAAUAUGUCGCUUAGAUAUUUCUCAUAUGGUAUCGUAUAGUUUAUGCGCUUUUAAAUUUCACCCUGCUAAGCCGAACCAUUUUCUUUGUAAGAGUUAUCUCCCUUUUCACUGUUUAUCAUCUGUGUGCAUCUCCUUCGUAACAAAAAAAAGAUAGCGACAAAAUUCUUUUUACAAAUUGUUCGUUACAUCCUCAGUAAUUUUUGGCGUAUUUGGAUCGAAGCGAUUCGAUGAAAUUUUAUAGGAGUUAUCUACCUUUACAAAAUAAAUUUGUCGGUAUGUUUAUUUAACUCAUAAACAGUUAACCGUAUAACCCUGGAAUGUUUUUAUUUGAGUCCCCUAGGUCCUAACUUAGAAAAUGAGGUCAAGGUCAAAGGUCAAGGUCAAGUUCUCAAUUGUGACUUUUGCUUGUUUUUUGCAUUUUCUCCGACACUUUGAGAGAUACAUAUAAAAGAACAAGUGCAAAAUGUCUGCUUUAUUGUAAUGAAGAUAUGCUACAUUUAGUCUUAUACAAUUAAAUGGCAUCUUAUAGGAGUUGGUGCCCCUGAAAUGUCUUGAUAUGAGGUUAUUUGAUUAUAACUUCAAUUAAGUUCAUUAUAAAGACAUUUGACCUUAUACAAAAGGUUAAGUGACAAAUGACCUUGAAAAAUGGCUACCGGAAGUGACCUUGAGAAAACCGGAAGUAGCUUUUUUUGCAAUUUUUUCACAUAAAAGUACUCAGAAUCCAUAUAUUUUGUCAUAUAGAUACAUGAACAAGAU
RNAcentral lists this long non-coding RNA (799 nucleotides) under Mytilus galloprovincialis (Mediterranean mussel). Lineage: Eukaryota; Metazoa; Mollusca; Bivalvia; Mytilida; Mytilidae. The record is from RNAcentral.